RNAcentral lists this long non-coding RNA (232 nucleotides) under Ananas comosus (pineapple). RNAcentral's name for it is "long non-coding RNA (ACOM_LNC001103)". Lineage: Eukaryota; Viridiplantae; Streptophyta; Magnoliopsida; Poales; Bromeliaceae. The record is from RNAcentral.
UGACAAUUUUUAACGGCCGAUAUGGGAUACUUGCAAGUUUAACGGUAUAAAAGAAUUGAAAUAUGUUGAAUUUUUGAUAGAAAAUUCUAUUCACUAUCUAGAUAAAGAUCAAUAACUCCGAUCUUAAAUUGAAGGAUCCGAUCAUCCAUUUUUAGGACGUCGUUCGAUUUUGACCGUUCAUUUUAUGCCCGUUUGAUGGACUUUAUUAUGAUUUCAAAAAAUUACGAAAUUU